Molecule: non-coding RNA, 673 nt
Organism: Oryzias latipes (Japanese medaka)
Lineage: Eukaryota; Metazoa; Chordata; Actinopteri; Beloniformes; Adrianichthyidae
Source: the annotation of a RefSeq genome assembly
CAAGUCAGAGUUUGUGCAGCUCAGCAGCAGAACUAACCUGCAGGAUGUUCUCGGCCAUCAUCACAUUUUUUCUCUUGCUUCUAUGUAUGUUCAGAAAUAUCCAGAUGAUGCUUUUUCCAGGAGUCCAUGUGUUCCCUAAACAAUGAUUAAUCCAUAUUUUCCUUUUUUCCUCACAGAUGAAGCAGACGCCGUCACAUUUGACCCAACUCUUCCAGUAAUAGCGCAGAGCAAGGAGAGAGUGGAGAUGAAAUGUCGCCACGACGACAGUAAUCUCAAUGUGAUGCUGUGGUACCAGCAAACCCAGAGCGGUGGGAUGAACCUGAUGGGAUACGGGUACACGGGCUCAGAACCUAUUCUGGAGAACGAGUUUAAGUCCCAGUUUGAGAUGACCAGAGAAGAGGUCCGGAGAGGAAGUCUGAUCCUCCGGAGCGCCAAAGAGUCAGACUCGGCUGUGUAUUUCUGCGCCGCCAGCACACGCUGAUGUGGUUUGAUGAGAGCUCAUGACUAAAACUCCUCCUUCGGGGUCCCAUCUGUGACACGGGGGGCUGGCAGACGGAGGAAACGAACAUCACUGACUGACGUUUUAGUCUUUAAGAAAUAUUGGCGUUUUUCUGUGGAGGAAGUUAUGUUCUGGGAGAAGGAAGCCAUAUUUCAGAAAAUAUCCAGAUUUUAA